RNAcentral lists this long non-coding RNA (637 nucleotides) under Pan troglodytes (chimpanzee). RNAcentral describes it as "long non-coding RNA NONPTRT011619". Lineage: Eukaryota; Metazoa; Chordata; Mammalia; Primates; Hominidae. The record is from RNAcentral.
CCACCGCCAGCACGAAGGCCACAGGCAGCACCAGGGCGCGGUAGGCGGCGAUAAGGCGCGUGCAGUCCACGUGCCAGCCCAGGCGCUGCUGCAAGUAUGGAGUCAUGACUCUGGCAUCCAGCAAGCUGAGGCCUGGCAACAGGUAGUAGUAGUAGGCCACCGUGCUGCCGAAGCCGUAGUAGCUGAUGGACGCGUAGUCCAGGUAGAAGAAGGCGGCGCGCAGGCGCAGCGACAGGCAGCUGAACACGUGCGCCGUGCAGCUCAUGGCGAAGGUCAGCAGCACUCCCGACGCGUAGCACCACAACGGUAGCAGCCACGGGUGGUGGAAGGGCACGUCGCCGCCGCUCAGGAAGAACAGACGGCAGAACUUGCUCAGGAACAGCAGCAGCGGGAUGAAGUGCGUCCAGAAGUUGAGCGUCUCGUUGGACUUCUAUUUGGAACUGAGUCCGACAGCUCAGGACUGGCUGCUCAGACUCCACAAUUUAAUGAAAAAUCUCAGAUGAUGACUCAGAAAACCUCUAAUGAUCUGAGGAAUAUAUUAAGGGAUUCCAGAGUCAAAGGCUGAUCAUGGAGGGCAUUGAUGAGGGAAGACUUCAGGAUGCUGCCUCCUGAGAAGCUGUUGUGUAGCCAGCCUUGA